GACGGAGGAGGCUAGCGUUGUUCGGAAUUACUGGGCGUAAAGCGCAUGAAGGUGGUGAAGUAAGCCGGAUGUGAAAUCCCAGGGCUUAACCCUGGAAGUGCAUCCGGGACGUGCUUUGUCUUGAGUUCGGGUAGAGGUGAGUGGAACUGCGAGUGUAGAGGUGAAAUUCGUAGAUAUUCGCAAGAACACCAGUGGCGAAGGCGGCUCACUGGCCCGAUACUGACGCUGAGGCACGAAAGCGUGGGGAGCAAACAGGAUUAGAUA
This 264-nucleotide ribosomal RNA is filed under the name uncultured bacterium. Its description in RNAcentral is "partial 16S ribosomal RNA". It matches the Rfam family "Bacterial small subunit ribosomal RNA", at positions 524 to 784 of the family's 1533-position model. The record is from RNAcentral.